CCUACGGGAGGCUGCAGUGGGGGAUAUUGCACAAUGGGGGGAACCCUGAUGCAGCGACGCCGCGUGGGUGAAGAAGCGCCUCGGCGCGUAAAGCCCUGUCAGCAGGGAAGAAAAUGACGGUACCUGAAGAAGAAGCCCCGGCUAACUACGUGCCAGCAGCCGCGGUAAUACGGAGGAUGCGAGUGUUAUCCGGAUUCAUUGGGUUUAAAGGGUGCGCAGGCGGGCCUUUAAGCCGGCGGUGAAAUCGCGGGGCUCAACCCCGCCGAGCCGUCGGAACUGGGGGCCUUGAGUGCGGCGGAGGCAUGCGGAAUGCGCGGUGUAGCGGUGAAAUGCAUAGAUAUCGCGCAGAACCCCGAUUGCGAAGGCAGCGUGCCGUGCCGCCACUGACGCUGAGGCACGAAAGCGCGGGGAUCGAACAGGAUUAGAUACCCCAGUAGUC
This 439-nucleotide ribosomal RNA is filed under the name uncultured bacterium. Its description in RNAcentral is "partial 16S ribosomal RNA". It matches the Rfam family "Bacterial small subunit ribosomal RNA", at positions 338 to 795 of the family's 1533-position model. The record is from RNAcentral.